This 299-nucleotide long non-coding RNA is filed under the name Bos taurus (domestic cattle). RNAcentral describes it as "long non-coding RNA NONBTAT023424". Lineage: Eukaryota; Metazoa; Chordata; Mammalia; Artiodactyla; Bovidae. The record is from RNAcentral.
CUGCUGCUGCUGACCUUCAAUGAUUGGUACUGAAUACUACUAUACAACUAUAUCAGGGUAUAGUAGUAGUAAUAAUAAUUGACUUAGGACUAAUAGGAUUACUAUGGCUGAUAAUGAUGUCAUAUUUGUUUGGUUCUUUUGGGGCAGCUAAUUCAUUUGCCUUCCAUUAGAUUCUUUUGUUGCUCCCUCAAUCUGCAUAGCUGUAGUUACUCCCUAAAUCAAAGUAAGUAAUCCUUCCUAAGGCCUAAACAAAGGCUACUUAGGUGUAACUUGGCAAAUUAAAUGAAAUGUGCUUGGUC